Molecule: long non-coding RNA, 4418 nt
Filed under: Capsicum annuum
Lineage: Eukaryota; Viridiplantae; Streptophyta; Magnoliopsida; Solanales; Solanaceae
Description: long non-coding RNA (CANN_LNC007201)
Source: RNAcentral
GAUGAUAGAAUGGAGCAGUAAAUACGUAUCCAAAGUGCUGGAGAAAUUGCUACUUCGGUAGCAAUAAAAUGUGGGUUACAAGUUUGUACAAGAUAAGGAGAAAGAUGCUCGAAAAUUUCUUCUACAAACAUCAAAAUCACGAAUGUAGAUAUACGAAGAACCGUGCCAUGAUUUUUUGCAAUCCAACAAUUUUUUGAUAUUUUCCUCCAUGACCUGUCCUCGUGGCAAGAGACUUCAAGAAUGUGCUGGACCUAUUGACGAAGAUCUGCCACGGCAUUCGGCAUCCAAUAUCCAUUUGGUGGCUGAUAAAGGAAAAAAGAUAGGAGAAGAAAUUGUGUUAAAGGAGAAAAUUAUAAUAUAACCCUAAAAAUGGUUCUCCUAUCUCACUUACAAUUCAUGUUCCACACCUCUGGGAAAGGAAGAUGAUUGUUCGGGAUAAUCUCAAAAGUUCUUACAGAUACAAAUCUCUCCAUCCAAUGACGAUCUUUCAGCUCAUCUACGCUUGACAGAAGACCUGAUUUUCCUUACUUAACGAGAUAUACAACCCUACCUCAAAAGGUUCGAGGAGAAUAGAGACACAUCAAGUGGCUUAAAGUGAAACCCACAUUAGAACCAAAAGCUUUUACAAGAAAGUAAUGGAGGUAGGUGAUGGUCCUCCAUACUGUCGGACCUACUUGAGCACAACAAAUGUUAUAGCAUUUGCUUAGAUCUAAAAUUAUUGGGUCAAUCGCAGGCUUAAAACAUAAGGCGAAUGGAUAAGUAUAUACAUUGGAAAAUCCUAAUUUGAAAGAGGUUAUAGCAUCAAGAAUAAGGAUUUUGGUAAUCUUAUCCAAGCAACAGUCCACCAGGACAACUUUAAAAAUAGAAGAAACUAUCAACGAAUGAUAGUUUUCAACUGGUUCACCCCUAUCUCUCACCGUAGAUGGUUGUUGUUUGGUCCAGUUACAAUCCCAAUUAUAACUCACUAGAAAAAUAGAAUCCAGUUUUGAUCCAGUAUCAACGAUGGAUAAAGCAUGAGAAUAAUGGUAAACAGAAGAAAUCGAAGAAGUCUUAUCCAUCUAUGAGAAUGUUAGGAGACAAAUUUGCUAUUGAUAGAGCAAAGACGAAAAAAUUUGCAGUUUACUCCAUAACAAAAUGUCAUAGUAAAACAAGAUAAAGAAGAAGAGGAAACAAAUCUCAUAGAGAAUUUGACUCAUUAUUUCGGCGCUUCAAUAAUAUAUAAACUGGCCUCAAAGACUAAUCACACACUAACACGUGUCUUGGAAAAGUCUUUCAUAUGUCAGGACACAUCUUGCGGAGAAGAUCUUCCUUUUUAUGGAAGCUACUCCUUCUAGCACAUUCUAGUUUGACACUUUUUUUUUGGAACUUGUAACUUUUGUAUUUAGACCAAUACUUAGGUAGUACUAAAAAAUUAUAUUUACAAGGGGAAAGACUAUAAAAUUUAACCAUAAUAAGACCAAGCCUAGAUGGUAACUAGGACAUCUAGGAUUGAUUAUGUGUCACCAAAACACAGUUCGGUGCACAAAAAAACAAAAUAACAAAGUACAAUUUAGCUUAAUAUUCUGUACUGAAUUCCCUCCAUCCUCAAAAUACCUAUCAUUUCUUCCUUUCCAAAUUGUUCACGAUAUACAUGGGAAUGAUCCUCCACCUCUCUCUGUUCCUUGCACUCACUUCAGUUUCCUCCCAGCUAAAAAGAGUGUCAAUAAUCUUAAUUGGCAUUAUCCAUGCUAUGUCUGUGAGAUUGAUGAAAAUUUUUUGUAGUUGAUCUGUGAUUUUGUAGUGUAGGAAGAGGUUAUUUACUGUUUCCAUUUCCUUCUCACAUAAUAACGUCUGGAGCAGAGAGAAAUUUUCCUUUGAUCAAGAUCUCAUGAGUCAAGACAGCUUCUUUAGCUACAAGCUAGGUAAAACAUGCAACUUUGUAAGGUAUCUUGAUCUUCCAGAUGUGUUUUCAUGGCCAGAUAAUGCUUUGUGGUUUUAUGUGAUUCAACAACUUAUACCCUGGUACUAACUUUAUACAAUCCACUUGAGUGUCCAUCCCACCAUAGACAGUCCACUCCUUUGACCUCCUUGAAAGAUCUCUAACUGAUGUGUGAGUGUUUAAAGAAAAGGCCAGAGGACUCUAAUUGACCUCCCUAAGCUAACUCCAUAUGGAGUGCUGCCCUCCUUGCCACUUUGCAUUUUACACGGUGAUAAAAUCAUAAAUAAGAUAGUUAAUUUUACUAAUUUGUCCUUUAUCUAUAUUGUUUGAAUCCUAUAUAUGGAUAUGAAAUAUUUUCCAACUAUAAUUCCCUAUAAAAGGAAUGAUGGAUAACCUACUUAAUUCACAAAAUAAAUGCAAAAAACAAUACGAAGACAUCAAAUUCUAUCAAAUGUUGUGUGGUCGUUCACUUAAAACACUUUUAGUACUAGUAAUCCUUAAAAUGGGUGGGAGUAGGAUUACAAGCAAUUAAUGAGCUCCUUGAAAAAAGAAACUUUUUGAAACUUCUAAAUUUGUUUUGGAUUCCAAAGAAUACGUCAAAUGGGAAAAAAUAAUUUCAGUUAAAAAGGAAUAGCUCGUAAUAAAAUGGGGAAUAGUAAAAUAAGUGUAGUAGAUUAUUUUAGCUUGAAUUGUGUGAUUGACAUUCUUUUACAAGUAAAUAAAGAAAUUAGAGUUUUUUGGGAUAACCAUGGUGUUCGGGCCAGCUUUCGCGCACCUUGACUAAAUCCACGUGAUACCUGCCACCUCCCACCACCAACAGAUAUAAGAUAAUUUUGUCCACCAAGGCUAGGACAGAUGGGAAGAAUCACCUAGUAUUUUUUGUCUCUGCUGGGAUUUCAGCCUAAGACCUCAGAUUCUCAACCCACUUCAUUGACCACUAGGCCACACCCCUGGAUGCAAUAAAGAAAUUAAUUUGCUUACUCUAAUCAUGGUUAGGACUUUGAUUUAAGUAAUUAAAUAUGAACCUUUAAUACUUAAUCAUGAUAUGUGGCUUCCAUCCAAGUAGGAUAUUGGGGAAAUGGAAAGAUCGAGUAAUGGAGAAGAGCCUCGUCUGAUCUAAUAUGGCCUUUCUCGGCGGAUUCCAGAAAAAGAAGUAACGGAAGUGAAAGAAUAACAAACAAAAUACUUCAAUAAUCAAAGUACAAGAAACAAUAAAUAAUAAAAAAUAAAUGAAGUAUAGAUAUAUGCAUAUAAUGCCUACUGAAAUCUGAAAAAUAUUAUAUUUGAACCCAUAAUUGUAACGCUACAAUGAGAAUCUUAAAAGUUAAAAAAGUUUAAAUGCUGGAUUUGCCUUGUCACAAGCAGAAAGUUCUAAAUACAAAAUAUUGCACUGAAAAAUUACUUGAAAGCAAUAGCAAUAUCACUCCCAAAUUUCUCAAUAUGCUUAUCUAUGACCACGAAGCAUUUGUUAGCUCCAUUGCAAUUAUCUCUUAUUGUUGAUUGGAUCUAAAUUGCUACUAGAAAAGAUUCCUUCGGCAGUGUAAUUUUUCAAUUAAAGUGUUCAUAGUCGAAAAGCUGGAGCGGAUGCAAGACAAAGAGGUAGAGGACCAUUCCCAUGUAUAUCGUGGACAAUUUGGAAAGAAAGAAAUGAUAAAUAUUUUGAGGAUAGAGGAAAUUUAGUACAAAAUCUUAAGCUAAAUUGUAUUUUGUUAUUUUAUUUUUGGUGCACCAAAAUGUACUCUGGGCGACGCAGAAUCAAUCCUAGAUGUUCUAGACACCAUCUGGAUUUGUCUUAUUACGGGUAAAUUUAUAAUCUUUCCCCUUGUAAAUAUGGUUUUUUAGUAUGACUAAGUAUUGGGCUAAAUACGAAAGUUACACGUUUCAAAAAAAAAUCUUCCAAACUAAAAUGUGCUGGAGGGAGUAGCUUCUAAUAGAAGGAAGAUCUUCUCUAUUAAAUGCGUCCUGGCAUAUGAAAAACUUUUCCAAAAUAUGUUUAGCAUGCGAUUGGUCUUUUGGGCUGAUUUAUAUAAUAUUGCAGCACCGCAAUGAUGAGUCAAAUUCCCUAUAAUAUCUGUUUCCUCUUCUUUAUUUUGUUUUAUUGUGAUUUUCUAUCAUGGAAUAAACUGCAGACUUUUCCUUCUUCGCUCUAUCAGCAACAAAUUUAUCUCUUAAUAUUCUCAUCUAUGUUGCUCGGACUCGGCUAUUUUGCUGCCGAACCCGUCUUGAUACGAGACUAGGGCGGGGACGGGUGCUUCCGCUGUCUCCAAUUCGGUCAAACGAUUUCGAAGACGUUGACCAAACUGAAUAAUAAAUUUGAGGGAAGCAUCAAAAUUAACCGGUGACUUACCUGAAAAAAUCUCGACCAACAACCACCAGAACAGAGACGGUGUUAUCGAUGGCCAUCGCUGUCGCUGAAAAUCAUCAUUGCCAUCGUCGGAAAACAUCGUGCAGUCGUCUACGGUCAGUUGUCAUCAAUCGUCCGUAGUCAUCGGCAUUAAUA